UCUCCGUUGGUGAACCAGCGGAGGGAUCAUUACAGGACUCGCAAGACUCCUACAACCCUGUGAACUUAACUAUAAGCACGUUGCUUCGGCGGGUGUCUCGGAGGGGGUUCUCCCUCCCCGAGACGCUAAACCCGCCGGCAGCCUACUAUACUCUGUCUCUUUGCGUUGGCAACUCGAGUACAAUCAAACAAGUUAAAACUUUCAACAACGGAUCUCUUGGUUCUG
Molecule: unclassified non-coding RNA, 225 nt
Filed under: plant metagenome
Description: partial contains small subunit ribosomal RNA, internal transcribed spacer 1, and 5.8S ribosomal RNA
Source: RNAcentral